RNAcentral lists this small nuclear RNA (23 nucleotides) under Arabidopsis thaliana (thale cress). RNAcentral's name for it is "snRNA_04743". The record is from RNAcentral. Lineage: Eukaryota; Viridiplantae; Streptophyta; Magnoliopsida; Brassicales; Brassicaceae.
AACAAUAUCUUCUGAAACCUAAG